GGGUGGGGGACGGGGACGUAACAGUCGCUUGGACACGUUUUUCUUUUGCAAAUGAAUCUUAUUGUGAUACACGCUUUCCCUCUGGCCCCUUAACAGCGGUUUGACAACAGACAGGAAAUUAACCAUAUAAAUUUUAAUUUGCCGACCCUUUACACCAGCAACGGAAGAUGCAUCUGUUGGAUUUCUGCGUGUUGUGCAGCUGGGAGGACGGAUUAGGACAUGGGAACCCACGGACGAAGAUUGGGAACAGGAGCUGCGAAUCUAGGAGGACUUCCAGUAGAUGGAGAGCAACAACAAGAGAUGAGCCAUGAAGAUCCACAGAAAAGGAACAGCAGCACCCAAAUUGCUGGAGAAAGCAGUAGACCAGGACUUCUCUAUCGAGACUUGUAUGUCAGGUCCAUGUAGAAAUAAAUGCCUGGUGCUUAUAUUUAAGAGUUCAGGGAGGUGAUUAAACCUGCUAUUGUAGCCUUUCUUAGAACCUGUCUCUUUUCCUAGCCCACAUCAAGGGGAGUAAUUGGUGGAUGUUUUUCCACUGCCAGACAAAUCCACUAAUCACACCUUAACUUGCCCUCCAGUAAACUGUCAGUGAAGCUGCACUUCCCUGCUUUGUUAACAAGACGGCACAGAGAUCUGCUGGGGGAAAGAGCUAAUUUGUGUGGCACUUGAUGAAAGCAUAUUUCAUUGGCUGCAUAGAUGAGUCUUAAAGCCUGCAGGGCUUAAUAUUGAUUACUAGGAAGGGAUCUGGAGAGUGAGAAGAAGAGUGAGAUUCCAAAUGUAUUCACUUGGCUACUCUAACACAAAUUCUGGCUAGAUGGGAUAGGGUCUUAAUUUUGAAGAAAAGAUGCCACAAGCAAAGAAGCGUUUCACCCCAGUUUUGCAGCUCCUGCAGAAGGGAUAGAGAAAGAAGGGGCUCACUGUUGCUUGCUCUUUCCUAGUUGCCUCUCCCCCUUCAAGUAGAGGCUUAUCCUUUAAAAUAAAGGCGGGAGCGUUAAGCUCUCUUUUUCAAGUAUGUUUCUAGUCUCAGAUCCAGCCAGGGUGAAGAAAUAGAGGAUGAUGUUUACACAAUGGAACCAUUCAUGACGGAGAAGGGCCCAGAAGAAUCGGCUUGCCUGCUUUUAAGAAACAGUGGAGACAAGGAGCUUUCAUCACCUAAAAGAAAACUAGAAAUAAACCAGAAACCAGAGGCCCAUCCUGUUUUGCUGGCAUUCUAGGCAAUAACUUACUACUUUGAUCUGGACAUCCAGGGUAAAAGUGAGGUGUCAAUUUACUACCUUCUAGCAGAAAAUGUUCUGUGUGAAGCCGGAAACAUCAGCUUAAAACACUGAUUAAGAGCCAUUCAUCUGAAGUCAAUGCUGCUGGCAACUUCAGCUAUGAUAUCAAUAUCACUAUUCAGAACACAAUCUCCCCAUCAUAAUCAGUCUGAAAAACUCUAGUUAAUUGCACCAGCCUUUUUGCCAGAUGGGCUCUUUUUCUAUUUUUAUUUUAAAGAUUGACCAAGCAUAAUCUUGACAAGAUUCUGCAGGGCACACAAGAAAAUAUACAAGGCAGAUGGGUUCUUGCCAAAUGCAGAAGAGGAUAAUGCAAAUUCAAGAUUAAACCUGCAAUAAACAGGAAAGAAACCUGAGAGGUCUGGAAGAGCUGACACUGAAAACUCCUUCUUCCUUUUCCCUCCUCCUCGUCCUCCUCAUCCAUUCUACCACUGAAAAGUUGUGAGAAUGUUAUUCCUGUGCAUACUCAGCGGUGGGAUUUACUUACCUGCCCUACCAGUUUGCAAAUGUGAGCGUGCUCACUCCACUCGUGUGCACCUCAUCUGCAUAUGCGCAUGGCCUUCUGCGCAUGUGCAGUAGGUGCAUGUUACAUCAGGUCAGGUGGGCAGAGCCUCCCACUGUCGCAGCUACCAGCUUGCGCAAUCUGGAGAGAACCAGCUGAACCCCACCACUGUGCAUACUGUAUAUAGCACUUGUACAAAGUUAUAGAAACAGACCUUUUGACUGUGGAUAUUACAAUAACAAUUUGUAAUUAAAAAAAUUAAGAAGGUAGAUAUAAAAUAAGAGACAACUCUUAAAAUGUUAGCAAGAGUGAAUAUCAGAUUCUGCAGACUAAGUGAUUUGUCUCACUAUCUGAUUCUUUAUUCCCACUAGCAGUAGCAUCCCAGGAGAUAGCCAUGCUUGAUGCAUAAGCCAUCUUCUUCUUUUUUUUCAUAUUUUAUUUAUAUAACAUAUAAAAAAUUCAAUUUCCAUCAAACAGUGUGUUGUCUGGGUACAGUUGUUUUUAGGCAAUCAUAAUCAAAAUGUUUACAGUAGUAUUCAUUGCAAUAAUAUUAAUACUAUAAUAACAAUAAUAUUUAACUUAUCUACUUUAGCAAAUCUCCGUUUUAGCAUUUAUCCUUUUUAUAUCCCCACAUUUCUAACUUCUGUUUCUAUUGUCUAACCAUUGGUAAAACAGGUCCCGUAUCAAAAAAUAUUCAGUUUCUUCUUUGUCCUGAAUAGUAAGCAUGUCCCCCACAUAUGGUAAUAUGAACCAGGUGUUUGACUGCACUUCCAACAUUUAAUGGAUCUAUCUUGAUACAUUUUUGCCAGUUUUGGUGCAAAAUGCCAUCUAUAGAACAUUUUAUACAAAUUUUCUUUAUAUGCAGUUGACAUGGUCAAUUUAACAUUUCUAUCCCUCAGUUUCUGCCAUUUAUCCAGUUCUAUUGCACAUCCAAAUUUUUUAGUCCAAACUUUCAUUGUCUCCAUUAUCUGCUCACUUUCAAGUUUAAGUAACAAUAUAUUUUCUUUAUCAGUUUUUCAAUCUGUUCCAAAGCCAUGGCUAUCUUCUAUGGACUUCAUUUAAAAAUCUUGAUUCAGAGAAAAAUUAUUAGCCUAUUCCAAGAUAUUCUAUUUCACUGUCCUUUCUCCUUUCCUAUUUCUCAGGCUUGAGUUUGGGAAAUCUGUCUUCUCACUAACAUGACAUUUUCAGGUAUCAUAUUCCCAGUUCAUCAUAAUCACUCCACUGUGUUAUACUCCCUCUCCUUGAAAUGGAGGACAAGAAGAAGCCAAGGUAAUAUGGAAGGAAUCCACGCAGGGCAGCUGCAGUUC
This is a long non-coding RNA of Ahaetulla prasina, 3077 nucleotides long. RefSeq lists it as uncharacterized. The record is from RefSeq and is a predicted model, not a curated record. The transcript has 3 exons. Lineage: Eukaryota; Metazoa; Chordata; Lepidosauria; Squamata; Colubridae.